UUACGGCCAAAUCACAUUGAAAUACCUGUUCACCUGAAGUUAAACAACGUUGAGCGUGGGUAGUACCUAGAUGGGUGACCACUUGGGAAUACCAGGUACUGUCAG
Non-coding RNA from Acanthosepion pharaonis, 105 nucleotides. Lineage: Eukaryota; Metazoa; Mollusca; Cephalopoda; Sepiida; Sepiidae. The record is from the annotation of a GenBank genome assembly.